RNAcentral lists this ribosomal RNA (253 nucleotides) under uncultured bacterium. Its description in RNAcentral is "partial 16S ribosomal RNA". It matches the Rfam family "Bacterial small subunit ribosomal RNA", at positions 524 to 776 of the family's 1533-position model. The record is from RNAcentral.
UACGAAGGGGGCUAGCGUUGUUCGGAAUUACUGGGCGUAAAGGGCGCGUAGGCGGCCAUCUAAGUCGGACGUGAAAUCCCUCGGCUUAACCGAGGAACUGCGUCCGAUACUGGAAGGCUUGAAUCCGGGAGAGGGAUGUGGAAUUCCAGGUGUAGCGGUGAAAUGCGUAGAUAUCUGGAGGAACACCGGUGGCGAAGGCGGCAUCCUGGACCGGCAUUGACGCUGAGGCGCGAAAGCUAGGGGAGCAAACGGG